GCAUCGUGAGCAUUACUUGAGACUCUAGUUUAGGCAAGGAUUUCUACGAGAGAUGGUGUGAUGGCCAUGUUGGGGUUCUCCUUUAGAGAAUUGUGUUAGGCGUCGAGUACGGAGUGUGUUCAGGGAAGAGCAUUACAUGCCCUACCUCACGUGGGUUGUACCAUUGGCAUUAACAUUGACAUAAACAAGACCUAAGCUGAUCCCCC
RNAcentral lists this long non-coding RNA (206 nucleotides) under Physcomitrium patens. RNAcentral describes it as "long non-coding RNA (PPAT_LNC003357)". Lineage: Eukaryota; Viridiplantae; Streptophyta; Bryopsida; Funariales; Funariaceae. The record is from RNAcentral.